GAUGAAGAACGUAGCGAAAUGCGAUAAGUAAUGCGAAUUGCAGAAUUCCAGUGAGUCAUCGAAUCUUUGAACGCACAUUGCGCCCUUUGGUAUUCCGAAGGGCAUGCCUGUUCGAGCGUCAUUAUCACCCCUCAAGCCCUCGGCUUGGUGUUGGACGGUUUGGUGGAGCCCCCUCGGGGGCUCCUGCCCCUCCCAAAGACAAUGACGGCGGCCUCGUUGGACCCCCGGUACACUGAGUUCUUCACGGGACACGUAUCGGACACAUGGGUUUACGGGACACGGUCUGCCUCCCCUCAGGGAGAAUCUUUCUAAGGUUGACCUCGGAUCAGGUAGGGAUACCCGCUGAACUUAAGCAUAUCAAUAAGCGGAGGA
Molecule: unclassified non-coding RNA, 372 nt
Filed under: soil metagenome
Description: partial contains 5.8S ribosomal RNA, internal transcribed spacer 2, and large subunit ribosomal RNA
Rfam family: 5.8S ribosomal RNA (bases 1-121)
Source: RNAcentral